AGGGCACCACCAGGAGUGGAGCCUGCGGCUUAAUUUGACUCAACACGGGGAAACUCACCCGGCCCGGACACCGUAAGGAUUGACAGAUUGAUAGCUUUGUCAUGAUUCGGUGGAUGGUGGUGCAUGGCCGUUCUUAGUUCGUGGAGCGAUUUGUCUGGUUUAUUCCGAUAACGAGCGAGACUCUAGCCUACUAAAUAGUUCGCACAUUGUCUCUGUGUGUGUGACUUCUUAGAGGGAUUUUCGGUGUUCAGCCGCACGAAAUUGAGCAAUAACAGGUCUGUGAUGCCCUUAGAUGUCCGGGGCUGCACGCGCGCUACACUGGCAAAAUCAGCGUGCUUGUCCUUCCCCGAAAGGGGUUGGUAAACCCUUGAAAAUUUGCCGUGAUUGGGAUUGGAGAUUGCAAUUAUUUUCCAUGAACGAGGAAUUCCAAGUAAGUGCGAGUCAUCAGCUCGCGUUGAUUACGUCCCUGCCCUUUGUACACACCGCCCGUCGCUGCCCGGGACUGAGCCAUUUCGAGAA
RNAcentral lists this ribosomal RNA (519 nucleotides) under uncultured eukaryote. RNAcentral describes it as "SSU rRNA". It matches the Rfam family "Eukaryotic small subunit ribosomal RNA", at positions 1161 to 1705 of the family's 1831-position model. The record is from RNAcentral.